GACGAACGCUGGCGGCGUGCUUAACACAUGCAAGUCGAGCGGUAAGGCCCUUUCGGGGGUACACGAGCGGCGAACGGGUGAGUAACACGUGGGUGACCUGCCCUCAGCUCUGGGAUAAGCCCGGGAAACUGGGUCUAAUACUGGAUAUUACUCUGCGGUGCAUGCCGUGGGGUGGAAAGCCUUGUGCGGCUGGGGAUGGGCCCGCGGCCUAUCAGCUUGUUGGUGGGGUGAUGGCCUACCAAGGCGACGACGGGUAGCCGGCCUGAGAGGGCGACCGGCCACACUGGGACUGAGACACGGCCCAGACUCCUACGGGAGGCAGCAGUGGGGAAUCUUGCGCAAUGGGCGAAAGCCUGACGCAGCGACGCCGCGUGAGGGAUGACGG
RNAcentral lists this ribosomal RNA (385 nucleotides) under uncultured bacterium. RNAcentral describes it as "bacterial SSU rRNA". It matches the Rfam family "Bacterial small subunit ribosomal RNA", at positions 28 to 414 of the family's 1533-position model. The record is from RNAcentral.